UUUUGAUUUUGGGGGUAUUCUGUAAUCUCUCUUCAGUCUGUCAAUGUUUGUUUUGAUGUGUGGACUUCAGAAUGAGACAACAGGAAUGCUGUAUGUACAGAAGCAAGCCUGCAAAAAAUGAAAUAGGAAAUUGCAUUUCCUUCACCACAAGAUUUAAGAAGUUGCUUGCCAGAGGUGCUGAUGGAUUAUUCCCUAAUGGUGAAAAGAAGUUAUAUCAGCUG
This is a long non-coding RNA of Tympanuchus pallidicinctus (lesser prairie-chicken), 221 nucleotides long. RefSeq lists it as uncharacterized. The record is from RefSeq and is a predicted model, not a curated record. The transcript has 3 exons. NCBI's taxonomy places the organism in Eukaryota, Metazoa, Chordata, Aves, Galliformes, Phasianidae.